UGGCUCAGGAUGAACGCUAGCGGCAGGCCUAAUACAUGGCAAGUCGAACGGGAUUCGGAUAGCAAUAUCUGAUGAGAGUGGCGCACGGGUGCGUAACGCGUAUGCAACCUACCUUUAACAGGGGGAUAGCUCCGAGAAAUCGGGAUUAAUACCCCAUAGAAUCUUAAUGCUACCUGGUAUAAAGAUUAAAGCUCCGGCGGUUAAAGAUGGGCAUGCGUGCCAUUAGCUAGUUGGUGAGGUAACGGCUCACCAAGGCAACGAUGGCUAGGGGUUCUGAGAGGAUUAUCCCCCACACUGGUACUGAGACACGGACCAGACUCCUACGGGAGGCAGCAGUAAGGAAUAUUGGGCAAUGGACGCAAGUCUGACCCAGCCAUGCCGCGUG
RNAcentral lists this ribosomal RNA (385 nucleotides) under uncultured bacterium. RNAcentral describes it as "bacterial SSU rRNA". It matches the Rfam family "Bacterial small subunit ribosomal RNA", at positions 20 to 403 of the family's 1533-position model. The record is from RNAcentral.